RNAcentral lists this ribosomal RNA (407 nucleotides) under Cutibacterium acnes. Its description in RNAcentral is "bacterial SSU rRNA". It matches the Rfam family "Bacterial small subunit ribosomal RNA", at positions 28 to 430 of the family's 1533-position model. Lineage: Bacteria; Bacillati; Actinomycetota; Actinomycetes; Propionibacteriales; Propionibacteriaceae. The record is from RNAcentral.
GACGAACGCUGGCGGCGUGCUUAACACAUGCAGGUCGAACGGAAAGGCCCUGCUUUUGUGGGGUGCUCGAGUGGCGAACGGGUGAGUAACACGUGAGUAACCUGCCCUUGACUUUGGGAUAACUUCAGGAAACUGGGGCUAAUACCGGAUAGGAGCUCCUGCUGCAUGGUGGGGGUUGGAAAGUUUCGGCGGUUGGGGAUGGACUCGCGGCUUAUCAGCUUGUUGGUGGGGUAGUGGCUUACCAAGGCUUUGACGGGUAGCCGGCCUGAGAGGGUGACCGGCCACAUUGGGACUGAGAUACGGCCCAGACUCCUACGGGAGGCAGCAGUGGGGAAUAUUGCACAAUGGGCGGAAGCCUGAUGCAGCAACGCCGCGUGCGGGAUGACGGGCCCUUUCGGGUUGUAAAA